Molecule: non-coding RNA, 1739 nt
Organism: Delphinapterus leucas (beluga whale)
Lineage: Eukaryota; Metazoa; Chordata; Mammalia; Artiodactyla; Monodontidae
Source: RefSeq, a predicted model, not a curated record
GCCAGGGCCUUGUCACUGGCCACUGGUCCCUGGUGGUCUAGAGGCGAGGAUUCAGCGCUCUCACUGCCGCGGCCUGACCUCAAUCUCUGGUGGGAACCGAAAUCCUGCUUCAAGCCGCUGCAGGCCGAGGCCACCUGAGGUCAGUGUGAGGAGUUUAAAGUGCUCACUGUUGGGCACUCACAGACCACUCUGGAGUGAACGCCCCCUUUGGAAGUGAGCGUGUGUGCUCUGAUCUGGCUUUGAUGCUCUACCUGCCGCCUGCAUGAGCUAAGGGCUCUCACCUUGACCUCUGUUGCUUUUUGGAUGGAAAUAAUAGUAGCACAUUUGUCCAAAUGCUGCUUUGGGCUUUCUUUCCACCUGGCCAGACGCUGUGGCUUUUCCAUGCCCACUAAUGUCCACACGCAUGUGCUCUGUGUCAUGGGUACCAGGAGACUCCCCACAAGCCCUCACGCCCUGCCCCGUUCCCUGGCUACAGAAGCCAACAGUUUCCCUCAGGUCCUCAGGCCUGAAAGGAUGAGUUUCAGGCUUUCCUGCUGAGACCUUUAGAAAUGAGAACAUUUGGCUCCUAUCAAGUCUGUUCUGUUCACAGGGAUGAAGGGGGAGGGAGACACCAGCUUGGACCCUCUGCCUCGGGACUGGAGGUGGCUGGAAUCUGCCAGAAAAACAGACCAGGAGUCUUUUUCACCAGGAGCUAAAGGUGGCCCCAAUUGUCAUUUUACCCCAUCCUCAUGCCCCUGUCUUAUAGCUGUGUCUGUGACCCUUAGACGUGGAGUUCUGCAGGGUUGGGGUUUUAAUCUGCAGCUUGGAGCAGGGGGGUUUGGCUGCCAAAUUGUCACAGCCCAGUGUGUACCUUCCCACAAAGCCAGGCCCCAAGCUUUGGGGACCCCUCGAAAUCAUGGACUUUUCUGUCGAUGGCUGGGAGCUCCAAAGAUUUGCUGUCUCGCCACGUCCCUGCAGCUGGCAGGAAGAAUCAGGGCAGCUGUCCUUGAAUACGCCUGGUGUGUAGCAGUUGGAUGACUCCAUUCUCUUCUCUUGGGGAGCUCCUCCUUGCCAGAAGGUAGAACUCCAUCAGGAUGAAGCCCAGGACCAGCCAGAAGCAGCAAAUGAGAGAUUCCUUCCAUCUCUGAAAUUCCUACACUCAGGGAACAACUGUCCCCACAAAGCCUGUGGUCAAGAGGCCCGGGGGGUGGCUCAUCCCCCCAGCCAAGGAAGCCAGAACGAGCUACUGUGCAAAAGGCUUUUGGAAAGAUCUGAGAUUUCCCAGGUGCCGGGAACCCCAUAGACUUGAAGCUGUGUAUGAGGCUGGUGGGUGAGACAUCUGUCCCGCCGGCCACACUGAUCUAGUGCAGAGAUGGCUCUGCUAGCCUUCUGGUCACCCAGGGGCAUUUGUUAUGCCAGUGGGGACCAUGAAAACCCUGGAACCCAAAGUUGCCAUGUCAGAGGUGGACAAGGGUCUUAAAAUGCACAGGAGCUGCUCCUAAGAUUUUCUUUGAUUUGAUCAGCAUUGAUGGAGCAUCGAUAAUACAAAGGGAACUGUACCAGGUUCCAAAGGAUGUAGCUAUUGCUGGUAACAGAUGAGCUGAAAUGUCCAAACAGUAGCUGCUGUUGCACUCCCCGGAACCCAAAGGUGUUCUUAGGGAAACGGGGGGGAAGUGGUCCUUACAAACUGCCAGUAUUUUUAAAAUCCAGGACUUCCCUGGUGGCGCAGUGGUUAAGAAUCCGCCCGCCAAUGCAGGGGA